AAAGGAAGAUUAAUACAAGAUGGCAUCAUGAGUCCGCAUGUUCACAUGAUUAAAGGUAUUCCGGUAGACGAUGGGGAUGCGUUCCAUUAGAUAGUAGGCGGGGUAACGGCCCACCUAGUCUUCGAUGGAUAGGGGUUCUGAGAGGAAGGUCCCCCACAUUGGAACUGAGACACGGUCCAAACUCCUACGGGAGGCAGCAGUGAGGAAUAUUGGUCAAUGGGCGAGAGCCUGAACCAGCCAAGUAGCGUGAAGGAUGACUGCCCUAUGGGUUGUAAACUUCUUUUAUAAAGGAAUAAAGUCGGGUAUGGAUACCCGUUUGCAUGUACUUUAUGAAUAAGGAUCGGCUAACUCCGUGCCAGCAGCCGCGGUAAUACGGAGGAUCCGAGCGUUAUCCGGAUUUAUUGGGUUUAAAGGGAGCGUAGAUGGAUGUUUAAGUCAGUUGUGAAAGUUUGCGGCUCAACCGUAAAAUUGCAGUUGAUACUGGAUAUCUUGAGUGCAGUUGAGGCAGGCGGAAUUCGUGGUGUAGCGGUGAAAUGCUUAGAUAUCACGAAGAACUCCGAUUGCGAAGGCAGCCUGCUAAGCUGCAACUGACAUUGAGGCUCGAAAGUGUGGGUAUCAAACAGGAUUAGAUACCCUGGUAGUCCACACGGUAAACGAUGAAUACUCGCUGUUUGCGAUAUACUGCAAGCGGCCAAGCGAAAGCGUUAAGUAUUCCACCUGGGGAGUACGCCGGCAACGGUGAAACUCAAAGGAAUUGACGGGGGCCCGCACAAGCGGAGGAACAUGUGGUUUAAUUCGAUGAUACGCGAGGAACCUUACCCGGGCUUAAAUUGCAGAUGAAUUACGGUGAAAGCCGUAAGCCGCAAGGCAUCUGUGAAGGUGCUGCAUGGUUGUCGUCAGCUCGUGCCGUGAGGUGUCGGCUUAAGUGCCAUAACGAGCGCAACCCUUGUUGUCAGUUACUAACAGGUUCCGCUGAGGACUCUGACAAGACUGCCAUCGUAAGAUGUGAGGAAGGUGGGGAUGACGUCAAAUCAGCACGGCCCUUACGUCCGGGGCUACACACGUGUUACAAUGGGGGGUACAGAGGGCCGCUACCACGCGAGUGGAUGCCAAUCCCCAAAACCUCUCUCAGUUCGGACUGGAGUCUGCAACCCGACUCCACGAAGCUGGAUUCGCUAGUAAUCGCGCAUCAGCCACGGCGCGGUGAAUACGUUCCCGGGCCUUGUACACACCGCC
RNAcentral lists this ribosomal RNA (1236 nucleotides) under uncultured bacterium. Its description in RNAcentral is "bacterial SSU rRNA". It matches the Rfam family "Bacterial small subunit ribosomal RNA", at positions 154 to 1394 of the family's 1533-position model. The record is from RNAcentral.